UAGUCAAAAGACUUUAAUGCCCAUCGUUUAUGUUUCCCUUCACCACAAGUAAAGGGUAUAGCAGAAAAUUAUAAUUAUACCGACGGCAAAAGUCGAAACAGAACACGACGAGUUCCCAACUCUUGGCUCGAAGCGUUCUCCAGACAUCCCCCGACCUGCGCUGCUUUGACCCACCCCACGCCUCUCCGUCUUCGCCCCUGACCGGACCAUUCUACUGCGGCGCUUCGCCUCCGCAAUCCUCUCCGCCGUUACACCGCCACCUUGGUACGCUUCCAACUCGCCAUCCUCGGUGGCGAGCACAAGCUGGUCGCAGCCCACGAGGAUGGCCUGUAGAUCGAUGGCUGCCUCGCAGCUUUAUGGAUCCGGUUUGGUGGCGAAGAGGAGCAUGCGAUCCUUGGAGGGGCUUCGGCCUUCUCUGCCGCGGUCCAGGGUUUCUUCUUCCGAUUCCGUGGAUGUCAAAAGCAUGUUUUUCAGAGUCCCUGCCUUUAGAGUUUCCAACAUCAGUGGCAGAAAGCUUUCAGUUUCUAUGUCCCUUAAUGGAACCAGUGCUGGAAGCAAUGUUGAUGCCAAUAAUGCCAUAAGAUAUGCAGAGGGUACUAAACCAGAUCUAGUCUAUGAUCCACUUAAAUCUAAUCCAACUGAAGAAUCAUUCGAUGGAAAAAUGGGUAUGGACAUGCGUAUACAGAAGGAGGGCAUCAUCCCAACCAAAAGAAGUGCUAAAUUACAUGAUUUUUGCUUCGGCAUUCCUUUUGGUGGAUUUUUAUUUGCUGGAGGGCUGCUAGGCUUUAUUUUCUCUAGAAAUGCCACGGCCAUGAUACAUGGUGGUGCUAUUUUGGUGCUGAGUGUACUUAGCCUAAAAGUUUGGAGGACUGGAAGAUCCAGCUUACCAUUUAUACUGGGUCAAGCAGCCUUCUCUGCUGCGUUUCUCUGGAAGCUUAUGCAGGCAUACACAUUGUCAAAGAAACUCUUUCCCACAGGAUUUUAUAUCUUCUCGAGUGCUGCAAUGAUAUGCUUUUAUUCGUAUGUGUUGAUCUCCGGCGGAAACCCACCACCGAAGAAGUUGGCAGCAGCUCCCCAGUCAUAAGCCAUGAGAAUUUGUACAAAAAACCUCUCUAUGAGCAUGUGUCUUCAUUUAAAUUAAUAGCUUGGUUUGGAAUAGUGGAAUGAUCCUUUUUUCACUGAGAUGCCUACAAAUCGGAGCAUUCAAUUUGCAGUCCUAAAUUUCAAUGAUGAUGAUCCUUGCUAUGUAAAUCGCAAUUACAUUGUUCCAGAUGCAUAACUUGUGUUUCCAAUUGCACUCAAGUUCAGGUAAUGGUUCUAGACACCAGCAACUGAGAUCUAAACGAUCACAGGCUAUGAUCUAAACAAUGGUGAAAAAGAUGUUAAGAGAGCCUUUCCUCCAUCCAACAUCCAUCUCUCUGGAACCAGUUCAUGAUGAUGGGGAUAUGUUGAAGCCGCACACGGUCGUCCUCGGUCUGUCCCCCUCCUUGCAGCUUCUCCACCAGCUCAAUCGGCAUGCCCUCGAGUUCCAGCUUCUGCAAGCCACCGAGGCUCUCGAGGGCGUUCUCUUCUAUUUCCAUGUGGCUGAGGUGGAUCAUAUCACACAGCCCCAAAGACUUGAGCCUCCGGAGCCAACCGGCACGGAAGCACAGCUCGGUCCCGUCGUAUGCUUGCAUGAGAAAGAGGGACACCAGGUUGGGCAACUCCAUGAGCGAAGACAGCGAGUCCUCCUUGAGUCUCGACAUCUUUAGGACCAAAUGAGUGAGAGCUCUGAGAGAGUCAGGCCACCGAGACGUCAUCCCCUUCUCCAGCAUCCCGUACAAGCUCAGCUUCCGCAGCUGCGGCGGAGGAGUGAGGUUGUUUAGCAGCAAGGUGUCGUCUUUGUGCCUCGCCAUCACCACCAGGCGAACAAGGCGAUCCAUAUUGGAUAUGGACGCCGAGAGCAACUUGCUGUGGAUGGUUCUCACGCCUCUGAUGUCCAAGCUCUUCAUCUGCGUCAGACUCCGCAGAUGCCGGACCGUCGUCUCGUCCUCCACCACCACGGCCCUCAGAGUCUGCAGCUUCUUCAGCUUGCCAAUCCCGCCCGGAACGACGACUCCGCCGCCGAGAAUGGUGUAUCUUGAAGUCUGACGGUGGAACUUCUUCACCAUCAGAUGCCGCAGGCUCUCCAGCCUUGUGACUCCGCUGGGGAGCUCCUCGACGUGGGUGUAGACCGCAUCCAAGGUUUCAAGCUUCCGAAGGCUUCCCAGUGUUUUGGGCAGGUGCCUGACAUUGGUGCGCCGUAUGCUCAGGUAUCGCAAGUUGAAGAGGUGGCCUAUCUCGUCCGGCAAGCUCUUCAAUGGAGCGGCGCGGAGAUCCAAGACUCUUAUCAGCCGACACUUGGAGAGCAGCGAGGUGGAAGCCGGUGAGAACGCAAGGAAGGACCGAAGCAGCGGCAUCUUCUCGCUCAGCCUCUCAUCUUCACCCUGCACGAGGGAGAGCCGCCGGAUCCGAUCGCUUAAAUCUUCCGGCUUGCCGUCGUACGCCUCGGCGAAGUGCUCCUCUCUGGAUCUGGCCACGAUGAGCUCCCUGACGAGGUCAUGAACUCGGCAGAAGCGCACCCUUCCGGACUCGUUUGUGUGGGUGACUUGGAGCAGGCAGCGGCCGACCAGUUGGUUGAGGUAGUCCUCGGCCACCUCCUCCAUCGACCUCUGACGCCGCUCCUUCACGAACCCUUCCGCCACCCAGAGCCUGAUCAACCGAUUUCUUCCGAUGAGGUAACCCUCCGGGAAGAGGCUGCAGUGUAAGAGGCAGUUCCUGAGGUGGUACGGUAGAUGCCUGAUGCUUAGGCUCAGGAUUCUGGAGACUCUAUGGAGCCCUGUGUGUUCGGUGGUAGACCAUGUCAGGCCGUCGUGCAUGCUCUUCCAUGUCGACUCCGCCCUGUCCCUGUGGGACAACAGGAUGCCGAUGGCGACGAUGGCGAGGGGGAGGCCUUCGCACUUGUCCACGAUUCUUCUGGCCCAGUGCUCCAGCGCCGGGGGGCACACGCUUCCUUCCCCCCUCGGAAACGCCUUCUUGCAGAAGAGAGACCACGCCAUCUCCUCCGGCAGAGGGUCCACUGUCAUGACCCGGCUGCCACCCGCCACCGAAGCCACUUCCUGCAUCCUCGUGGUGAUGACGACUCUGCUCCGGCAGCUGUUGGCGAGCAGCGCGUAGCUGAUGUCCGUCCAGAUGCUGACUUGCCACACAUCGUCCAGCACAAUCAGGUACCUCUGGCGGUCCAGAUGCGCGCGGAGUGCUUCCACCAGCCUCCUGUACUCCAUCGAAUCGAAGUCGUCGGCGGCCUCUUCCAUCCUCUCCUGCAGCAGCGCCCUCAGGAUCUUCCGCAGCAGGUCAUCGAUGUUGUAGUUUUGGGACACAAAGACCCACGCGCGGCAGCUGAAGUGGCUGAGGAUUGCUCUGUCUCUGUAAACUCUGGUCACGAGGGUGGUCUUCCCGACGCCGCCCAUGCCGAAGACGGCGACUGCGGUGCGCCGGGGCUCCUCGUCCGUCAGCAACCCGAUAAGCCUAUCUUUGUGGUCGUCGAUCCCCACAAGUUCGUCUUCCUCGACGAAGUGUGCUGAUUCCGCUAAAUGGUAGCCCGGCUGGGGGUCGUCGGGCAGCUCCGCCAACCUCUGUGGGAUUCUGAUGACAGGCAACUCUCCGAUUCCUGAUAGCUGAGCAAGGCUAACUUCCUUGGCCUCCAGUCUCCUGGCGAUUUCGCGCAAAGCAGUGGCCUUGGCGUCGUUGGAGAGGCCACGGACGAAGGCUCCCAAGCUGCCCCAGCUGCUACCGGCGACGACGUAGGUGUACUCGUCGACGAUGUCCUCGAUGUCGUAGGCCACAUCUUGAACCUGCUUGGCCCAGGAGAUAAAGACCAGCUCUUGUUCGCCUCUGUACGUGUUCAUGGACUUGAGGAACUCCUGCAUCACCUCGAGCUCGCUCUUGAUCCGGAUCAUCCCUUCGUGAACGUUCUGCUGAGGCCUGGCGAGGCUGCCGGGAGGUCGGACUGCUGCAGUGGCCACAGCAUCGGUCAUCUUCUCGAUCAAGCUGAAGACUACAACCUCUGCCAUCUUAUCUCAAGAUCUUCCUCUAUCGGAGAAACUGCUACUGUACAAGGCCAGAUCAAAGGCCAGAGUUCAUCUACCCACCAUUUGGCCUCUAUAGAGUUGAUAUUGUUUUCGGAGCAUUUAGCUCCAAGAUUUCUCCAUCUCUCUGACAACGAAAGAAAAUUCCUGUUAGACCAAACUCAGCACGAACGGUAAGGGACGAAGAAGAAGAAGUCAAAUUUUCUAUGCUUUCCUUGAUCCUUCACACAGAUUCCUUCUUGUACCAGCUCAUGUCUCAUUCGGUGGUGUGGUGUCGGCAGUCGAAACAAGGGACAGGCAUUGCUUUCAUCUGUCCUCGGAAGAAAGCAUAUGAUAGGUGACAAAGAGGACUAUCAUUGGCUACCCGCAAAGAUCUCUCUAUCCACACUUGUUUCUUAGUAAGAAAGCGUGGCAUAGGUGACACAGAGUACUACCAUUGGCUACCGGUAAAGAUCUCUCUAUCCACACCUAUUGUUUCUAGUAAGAGUCAACACAAGACUCCGAGGCUUUUGAUGCGGAUGGAUUGUAAGGCUUCGAAGAAUCAAGGCCGCAUGAAGCGGCCGUUUUGGGUCACCUUCUGCGACCUGGACUUGUUCUUAGGUCAGGGCAGUUUCAUUGCAGAAAACAGAGACCGGCAUGCUCUACUUGCUCAGACCGUUUGGAAGAAGACGAGAGGAAAAGCUGAAAUAGAAGAUGAACUCCAAAAGUUGGCUGCUGUACUAUUAUUUCUCAUGAACUAAUAAUACCAUUUAUGAUGUCCUAACUUUAUUAGAUAAACGACUCAUUAAUUUUAUUGGGUUUAAUCUACUAAGUUUUUUUUU
Molecule: RNA transcript, 4927 nt
Organism: Musa acuminata AAA Group (dessert banana)
Lineage: Eukaryota; Viridiplantae; Streptophyta; Magnoliopsida; Zingiberales; Musaceae
Gene name: protein FATTY ACID EXPORT 1, chloroplastic
Exons: 9
Source: RefSeq, a predicted model, not a curated record